RNAcentral lists this unclassified non-coding RNA (354 nucleotides) under soil metagenome. RNAcentral describes it as "partial contains 5.8S ribosomal RNA, internal transcribed spacer 2, and large subunit ribosomal RNA". The stretch from base 1 to 120 matches the Rfam family "5.8S ribosomal RNA", at positions 35 to 154 of the family's 154-position model. The record is from RNAcentral.
GAUGAAGAACGUAGCGAAAUGCGAUACGUAAUGUGAAUUGCAGAAUUCAGUGAAUCAUCGAAUCUUUGAACGCACAUUGCGCCUCCUGGUAUUCCGGGAGGCAUGCCUGUUCGAGCGUCAUUAAAAUCACUCAAGCUUAGGUUUACCUAUUGCUUGGUCUUGGAGAUGGAAGCCAAUUCAUUGGAAUCCUCUUCGAAAUCCAAUGGCGAAGACCCUUGCUCUCCCAAGUGUAGUAAUAACUUAUGUCACUGAAGGAAGCGAGAAAUCUUCCGCCGUAACCCCCAUAUUUUCUAUGAUUGACCUCGGAUCAGGUAGGGAUACCCGCUGAACUUAAGCAUAUCAAUAAGCGGAGGA